UACGUAGGGUGCAAGCAUUAAUCGGAAUUAUUGGGCGUAAAGGGCGCGUAGGCGGAUUUGUAAGUCAGAUGUGAAAUUCCGGGGCUCAACCUCGGAGCUGCAUUUGAAACUGUGAAUCUAGAGGGUUGGCGGAGAAAACGGAAUUCCACGUGUAGCGGUGAAAUGCGUAGAUAUGUGGAAGAACACCUGUGGCGAAAGCGGCUCACUGGACCAUUACUGACGCUGAUGCACGAAA
Molecule: ribosomal RNA, 235 nt
Filed under: uncultured prokaryote
Description: partial 16S ribosomal RNA
Rfam family: Bacterial small subunit ribosomal RNA
Source: RNAcentral